UAGAAGAUGGCCAGUUUGGAUGCAGCAUC
This 29-nucleotide non-coding RNA is filed under the name Mus musculus (house mouse). Lineage: Eukaryota; Metazoa; Chordata; Mammalia; Rodentia; Muridae. The record is from RNAcentral.